RNAcentral lists this small nuclear RNA (23 nucleotides) under Arabidopsis thaliana (thale cress). RNAcentral describes it as "snRNA_08910". The record is from RNAcentral. Lineage: Eukaryota; Viridiplantae; Streptophyta; Magnoliopsida; Brassicales; Brassicaceae.
UUUCGAUAUUUAAGAUUUAUAAA